RNAcentral lists this ribosomal RNA (406 nucleotides) under uncultured bacterium. RNAcentral's name for it is "partial 16S ribosomal RNA". It matches the Rfam family "Bacterial small subunit ribosomal RNA", at positions 29 to 526 of the family's 1533-position model. The record is from RNAcentral.
AUUGAACGCUGGCGGCAGGCCUAACACAUGCAAGUCGAGCGAGCGGCGGACGGGUGAGUAAUGUCUGGGAAACUGCCUGAUGGAGGGGGAUAACUACUGGAAACGGUAGCUAAUACCGCAUACCAUCAGCUGUGCCCAGAUGGGAUUAGCUAGUAGGUGGGGUAACGGCUCACCUCGGCGACGAUCCCUAGCUGGUCUGAGAGGAUGACCAGCAACACUGGAACUGAGACACGGGCCAGAGCCCUACGGGAGGCAGCAGUGGGGAAUAUGGGACAAUGGGCGCAAGCCUGAUACAGCCAUGCCGCGUGUGUGAAGAAGGCCUUCGGGUUGUAAAGCACUUUCAGCGGGGAGGCGGUACCCGCAGAAGAAGCACCGGCUAACUCCGUGCCAGCAGCCGCGGUAAUAC